This 253-nucleotide long non-coding RNA is filed under the name Elaeis guineensis (African oil palm). RNAcentral's name for it is "long non-coding RNA (EGUI_LNC072361)". Lineage: Eukaryota; Viridiplantae; Streptophyta; Magnoliopsida; Arecales; Arecaceae. The record is from RNAcentral.
AGGACUUUGGGGAACUGGAACCGAUGAACUCCUAGAACUACUAGAAGAGGAGAUAUCGGAAGAUAUUUUCGAUCGAACGAAAGCUACAAAAUCCCAGAAAAAUUAGAAAAAUAGCGAGCAGGCCCUUAAGGAAGCUAAACGAACAGGGCACAAAAAAAAAUAGAAAAAUAGUGAGAAGUUCCAAGACUAACCUAGGUUGGCCUGGGGAGUGCGGGAAGGCGGCAAGGAUGAUGGGAGACCCGGAGGACGCCUA